AUUGAACGCUGGCGGCAGGCUUAACACAUGCAAGUCGAGCGGAUGAAGGGAGCUUGCUCCUGGAUUCAGCGGCGGACGGGUGAGUAAUGCCUAGGAAUCUGCCUGGUAGUGGGGGAUAACGUCCGGAAACGGGCGCUAAUACCGCAUACGUCCUGAGGGAGAAAGUGGGGGAUCUUCGGACCUCACGCUAUCAGAUGAGCCUAGGUCGGAUUAGCUAGUUGGUGGGGUAAAGGCCUACCAAGUCGACGAUCCGUAACUGGUCUGAGAGGAUGAUCAGUCACACUGGAACUUAGACACGGUCCAGACUCCUACGGGAGGCAGCAGUGGGGAAUAUUGGACAAUGGGCGAAAGCCUGAUCCAGCCAUGCCGCGUGUGUGAAGAAGGUCUUCGGAUUGUAAAGCACUUUAAGUUGGGAGGAAGGGCAGUAAGUUAAUACCUUGCUGUUUUGACGUUACCAACAGAAUAAGCACCGGCUAACUUCGUG
This 484-nucleotide ribosomal RNA is filed under the name uncultured bacterium. RNAcentral's name for it is "partial 16S ribosomal RNA". It matches the Rfam family "Bacterial small subunit ribosomal RNA", at positions 30 to 507 of the family's 1533-position model. The record is from RNAcentral.